UCAAAUUUUGUUUUUCGCAAA
RNAcentral lists this non-coding RNA (21 nucleotides) under Caenorhabditis elegans. Lineage: Eukaryota; Metazoa; Nematoda; Chromadorea; Rhabditida; Rhabditidae. The record is from RNAcentral.